UUUUCCAUCUGCUUCAUCAAGGAUCCCUGUGAUGAUGCUGAUGAGUCUCUCUGAAAUUCUUUCUGUUCUUUUUCUACUUCAUUGCACAGAACCCUUGAGGGUAGAAUGUGAAGUUCUGAUAUAUGUGUGCCUCGUGGAAUUAUCGUAUCAAGAACAUAUUGAUGCUCUGAAAGAUAACCCCAGAAGAGUAUGAGGAGACAUACACAGUCUACACAGAAAACUGAAGCCUACCCAGAGGGUAAAUAUUGAGUCAGGAUCUAAACACAGUUGGACUUUACAGCUCUCAGGAUCGUAACACCUAACUUCUUCCAAAAAGUGAAAUGACUUUACUUCUAAUUUCCUCCAUUCAUCCAAUACCAUUUGAAAAUAGUGUCUGAGUGUAUACUAUUUUUCAAGCACUGUUCCUGGGAAUCCAGGUACACAGUAAACUUUAGAGACAAAGUUCCUGAUCUUAGUCCACUGUUCCAGUAGGAAAAGACAUCAACAUCG
This 489-nucleotide long non-coding RNA is filed under the name Homo sapiens (human). RNAcentral describes it as "non-protein coding lnc-MSR1-2:2". Lineage: Eukaryota; Metazoa; Chordata; Mammalia; Primates; Hominidae. The record is from RNAcentral.